GAUAGCGUGGCUGAUAAAAGCAUUAAACUGUAAAUUUAAUCAUAGGAAUUCCUCUCUAUCU
Molecule: transfer RNA, 61 nt
Filed under: Calanus simillimus
Lineage: Eukaryota; Metazoa; Arthropoda; Copepoda; Calanoida; Calanidae
Description: tRNA-Tyr
Source: RNAcentral